RNAcentral lists this ribosomal RNA (388 nucleotides) under uncultured bacterium. Its description in RNAcentral is "bacterial SSU rRNA". It matches the Rfam family "Bacterial small subunit ribosomal RNA", at positions 30 to 416 of the family's 1533-position model. The record is from RNAcentral.
AUUGAACGCUGGCGGCAUGCCUUACACAUGCAAGUCGAACGGCAGCACGGGUGCUUGCACCUGGUGGCGAGUGGCGAACGGGUGAGUAAUAUAUCGGAACGUACCUUAUUGUGGGGGAUAACGCAGCGAAAGCUGUGCUAAUACCGCAUAAUCCCUAAGGGGGAAAGCGGGGGACCGUAAGGCCUCGCGCAAUUAGAGCGGCCGAUACCUGAUUAGCUAGUUGGUGAGGUAAAGGCUCACCAAGGCAACGAUCAGUAGCUGGUCUGAGAGGACGAUCAGCCACACUGGGACUGAGACACGGCCCAGACUCCUACGGGAGGCAGCAGUGGGGAAUUUUGGACAAUGGGGGCAACCCUGAUCCAGCAAUGCCGCGUGAGUGAAGAAGGCC